RNAcentral lists this ribosomal RNA (106 nucleotides) under Solanum circaeifolium. The record is from RNAcentral. Lineage: Eukaryota; Viridiplantae; Streptophyta; Magnoliopsida; Solanales; Solanaceae.
GAUCCCAUCAGAACUCCGAAGUUAAGUGUGCUUGGGGGAUGGGUGACCUCCCGGGAAGUCCUCGUGUUGCAUCCCUGGAUGCGAUCAUACCAGCACUAACGCACCG